UAAACCCCCCCCUCUCGGUUUACUUCUCGUUUUUUUUUUAUUUUAUUGAAGUCCGAUGGUGAUGAUGGUGAUUUCAUUUCAAGACCAUUUUGGUGACGGUUCGGUUUUGGGUUCGGAUUAACUCGGGUUUCGGUUCGGUUCGAGGGUAGUUCGGUCAAACCUGGUCAACACAGUGAGCUGACUUGGUCAACUCAACCGGUCAACUCAGUUGACCCGGUCAACUCAGCCACCUUCUUUUUCGGCGUUUCGACAUGAAGAUUCGGAAUACUAUAGUUGCACGCUAGCGAUUCACGUUCUUGGAACGGCACUACGGAAACACGCUAGGCUAGCUUUGCACAGGAAUGUCAAGGUUGCAUUUUAAAAACUAAGGAACGGUUGGAAUAGGAGAACCCAUGGAAAUUCGAGUACCUAGCAGGCGUUCACUAUUUAAAAGUCUUAGCCUUUUGCUUCCGCUGUGCAAUGAAGAUACCGGUCCAG
Long non-coding RNA from Helianthus annuus (common sunflower), 477 nucleotides. RefSeq lists it as uncharacterized. The record is from RefSeq and is a predicted model, not a curated record. Lineage: Eukaryota; Viridiplantae; Streptophyta; Magnoliopsida; Asterales; Asteraceae. The transcript has 3 exons.